RNAcentral lists this unclassified non-coding RNA (255 nucleotides) under Vertexicola sp. Its description in RNAcentral is "partial contains 5.8S ribosomal RNA, internal transcribed spacer 2, and large subunit ribosomal RNA". Lineage: Eukaryota; Fungi; Ascomycota; Sordariomycetes. The record is from RNAcentral.
CGCACAUUGCGCCCAUUAGUAUUCUAGCGGGCAUGCCUGUUCGAGCGUCAUUUCAAACUUCAAGCCUUGCUUGGUGUUGAAGCCUGCGUACCUCGCGGCUUUCAAAAUUAUUGGCAGAUCAGCGACGAUCUAGACUCAGUAAUUUUUCUAGUCUGUGAUUUUUUGUAUGGUUUUGCCUCAAAGUCUAUUCAGCUCUGCUGGAAGAAUUUUUAACAGUUUGACCUCGGAUCAGGUAGGAAUACCCGCUGAACUUAA